This 387-nucleotide ribosomal RNA is filed under the name Erythrobacter sp. ATKR01. RNAcentral describes it as "bacterial SSU rRNA". It matches the Rfam family "Bacterial small subunit ribosomal RNA", at positions 372 to 776 of the family's 1533-position model. The record is from RNAcentral. Lineage: Bacteria; Pseudomonadati; Pseudomonadota; Alphaproteobacteria; Sphingomonadales; Erythrobacteraceae.
UGGGCGAAAGCCUGAUCCAGCAAUGCCGCGUGAGUGAUGAAGGCCUUAGGGUUGUAAAUCUCUUUUACCAGGGAUGAUAAUGACAGUACCUGGAGAAUAAGCUCCGGCUAACUCCGUGCCAGCAGCCGCGGUAAUACGGAGGGAGCUAGCGUUGUUCGGAAUUACUGGGCGUAAAGCGCACGUAGGCGGCUUUUCAAGUCAGGGUGAAAUCCCGGGGCUCAACCCCGGAACUGCCCUUGAAACUGGAUGGCUAGAAUACUGGAGAGGUGAGUGGAAUUCCGAGUGUAGAGGUGAAAUUCGUAGAUAUUCGGAAGAACACCAGUGGCGAAGGCGACUCACAUGGACAGUUAUUGACGCUGAGGUGCGAAAGCGUGGGGAGCAAACAGG